AUUCCAGCUCCAAUAGCGUAUACUAAAGUUGUUGCAGUUAAAAAGCUCGUAGUUGAAUUUCUGGUCUCGGGCUUCGGUCUGCCUCAAACGAGGUACGCACCAGUUGUCUGAAUCCAUCCUCGGGGAGAACAUAUGUGUCAUUAAUUUGAUGUGUAUGGGAUCCUCGUCAUUUACUGUGAGCAAAAUAGAGUGUUCAAAGCAGGCUUAUGCCGUUGAAUACAUUAGCAUGGAAUAAUAAGAUAAGACCUUGGUCUAUUUUGUUGGUUUGUACUCCAAGGUAAUGAUUAAUAGGGAUAGUUGGGGGUAUUCGUAUUCAAUUGUCAGAGGUGAAAUUCUUGGAUUUAUGGAAGACGAACUACUGCGAAAGCAUUUACCAAGGAUGUUUUCAUUG
Molecule: ribosomal RNA, 391 nt
Filed under: Chrysophyceae sp.
Lineage: Eukaryota; Chrysophyceae
Description: partial small subunit ribosomal RNA
Rfam family: Eukaryotic small subunit ribosomal RNA
Source: RNAcentral